UGCUGACCCCUAGUCCAGUGCU
RNAcentral lists this non-coding RNA (22 nucleotides) under Mus musculus (house mouse). RNAcentral also lists the same sequence under 1 other name. Lineage: Eukaryota; Metazoa; Chordata; Mammalia; Rodentia; Muridae. The record is from RNAcentral.